This 490-nucleotide ribosomal RNA is filed under the name uncultured bacterium. RNAcentral's name for it is "partial 16S ribosomal RNA". It matches the Rfam family "Bacterial small subunit ribosomal RNA", at positions 30 to 507 of the family's 1533-position model. The record is from RNAcentral.
AUUGAACGCUGGCGGCAGGCCUAACACAUGCAAGUCGAACGGUAACAGGAAGCAGCUUGCUGCUUUGCUGACGAGUGGCGGACGGGUGAGUAAUGUCUGGGAAACUGCCUGAUGGAGGGGGAUAACUACUGGAAACGGUAGCUAAUACCGCAUAACGUCGCAAGACCAAAGAGGGGGACCUUCGGGCCUCUUGCCAUCGGAUGUGCCCAGAUGGGAUUAGCUAGUAGGUGGGGUAACGGCUCACCUAGGCGACGAUCCCUAGCUGGUCUGAGAGGAUGACCAGCCACACUGGAACUGAGACACGGUCCAGACUCCUACGGGAGGCAGCAGUGGGGAAUAUUGCACAAUGGGCGAAAGCCUGAUGCAGCCAUGCCGCGUGUAUGAAGAAGGCCUUCGGGUUGUAAAGUACUUUCAGCGGGGAGGAAGGGAGUAAUGUUAAUACCUUUGCUCAUUGACGUUACCCGCAGAAGAAGCACCGGCUAACUCCGUG